AGUUAAAGCCUAGCACCCUGGGCGGCUGUCGAGGUCCAUCCUCCUCCUGUCUGUCCGAAUGGCACUAGGUUUUCUUCUCCCAUUGUCCUUUCUCUCUGAGCGGCGCCGGGAGUAUGUGCAAAUUGGAAGGAAGAACGGAAUCAACUUGCAGCCACUGUAAGUUGAUUUCCCUUUUUUAAAUAAACACUGAUUUCUCCUAUACAUGUUUGCUCCUGUAGUUUCAGAAGUGAAGUGGAACAUGGGCACAUCUUCUAAAUUUAUGGCCUUCAAGCUGCGGUAGCGGCAAGGCCACCGUGAUCGCUGCUGAGUCGAGCCUUGCCAUCUUAUCAGUGCACUUCCAGCAGCAACUGCUGCCCUAGACCAUGACACUCUUCGAUCUCCAUCUAAAAGGUUAGGAGGGAGGAGGCACCAGUUGAGUGAUGAGCCGCUUGCCCGGCUAGGAAAAUAGAGGUAAGUAGCCAAUUCAACCUUGAGACCAUUUGUUCAGGUUAUGAGCCAAUUCCUUUUAAUUUUGAUUAGAGACUGGACAUUGCAAAGAGACUAUGUAUAGAACGGUUCCGAUGAAUGAAUCCCCAGCACCAUCAGUUGUAGCUAUGAGUUCAACAGGUGGUAUGACUUGUGCAAUACCAAGAAGAUACCGGCCACUUAUAUUCAGCAUAAACAAGUGAAUUUAGAAAAUAACCAAUUCUUGAGUAGCAGGUCUGAUAUGUCAGUGAAGGAAUAAAACUAUGCCUAUUUGUUCUCAUGUACCUGGCUUUCAAUGUUACUGAAUUUGACUGAAACAAAGAACAAAAGCUUAAACAAAUGGAGUAGGAAAGUAAUCUAUGCUUAUUCUUUCUCGAGUUCCUGGCUUCACAUGUUACCGAAGAAAAGGAGUUAUGCCUACAACUUUUUAAGUAGCAGUCUAGGAAUAUUUCAGGAACACCAGGUAUUAACUUAUUUCUAUGCAUCACUUGUUUUAUUUCAUAAACUUUGAAAUUGUGCACUGAUCCAUUUGGUUUCUUCUCGUAGUCCCAGAUUGUUGUUGCAAAAAAUCUUUCUGGUGAUCCCUCCUACUAGAAUCUUAAGAAGAUAGUGUGAUUUGAAUCUGAACUCAUAUCCUCAGACACCAAAUGAUCUGCCAAGUUAGAUAUGCUUUUUGCUAACAUAACAAGGGAACUGCACCCUGCUUCAGUAUUAUAUUCUGACCAGUUAACAAAAUCCGGUGGUUGCAGCAGCAGGAUGGAUAUGACUCUGGGGAGGUUGAGUUUAGUCUGAUGCUCUUUUCUAAUGAGUUCUCAGAGAUUAUGGAGCAGAUUGACCGUGAUGUAAAGUGUACCACCCUGACAUGCAUUUCUUUUGUGCAAAUGCCAAUAGUUGUCUCUUCCACCAAAGCUGGCGUGGAGGGAGAGGGAGGGAGGGCUAGGGGGAGCACCCCUUAAGUUUUGUAAACCCUCUAAUGCAAACAGAGUUCCAUGUAAUUCAAAGAAAAAUACUGACUCAAAGACAUCAUUGGAGGAGUUGGGACCGGAGUCACAGGACAUGGCACUAUGAACCACGAGUACGUGCUCACUCUCCUAGCGUGGCAUUUCUUGCUAUGCCUGUUUCAUUCCCCUAUCAUUGUAGUCUCCUUCCUGAUCCAUGCUCCAGAUGCCUAGAUGCAUUUGGAGCUAAACUUCAGCCUAUCAUUGUCCUCCUACGUACUGUUGUCCAGGUGCACCAACCUCGCUGUCAGUGUGCUCACUAGGAGCAUAAAGCUAGGCCCUUAACAGAAGCUGAAUUCAAGUCUGCUGCUCCGAAUUAUCCUCUCAUCGGCAAGCCAGCAAUGGUGACAAAUGAUCCCUGGAAACAUGGCCUCAAGUCUGCCAUGAGCUAGAGCUAGACUAGAUAUUUGAAAACUGGUUACACUGACUCCUCAGCAUUUGUAAUGGCACGUGAGUUUUCGAAAAUGAAUAUGUAUUUUAAGAGCCA
Molecule: long non-coding RNA, 1950 nt
Organism: Sorghum bicolor (sorghum)
Lineage: Eukaryota; Viridiplantae; Streptophyta; Magnoliopsida; Poales; Poaceae
Exons: 4
Source: RefSeq, a predicted model, not a curated record